Molecule: ribosomal RNA, 2900 nt
Filed under: Klebsiella pneumoniae
Lineage: Bacteria; Pseudomonadati; Pseudomonadota; Gammaproteobacteria; Enterobacterales; Enterobacteriaceae
Also listed under: 1 other name
Description: bacterial LSU rRNA
Rfam family: Bacterial large subunit ribosomal RNA
Source: RNAcentral
UUAAGCGACUAAGCGUACACGGUGGAUGCCCUGGCAGUCAGAGGCGAUGAAGGACGUGCUAAUCUGCGAAAAGCGUCGGUAAGGUGAUAUGAACCGUUAUAGCCGGCGAUGUCCGAAUGGGGAAACCCAGUGUGAUUCGUCACACUAUCGUUAACUGAAUACAUAGGUUAACGAGGCGAACCGGGGGAACUGAAACAUCUAAGUACCCCGAGGAAAAGAAAUCAACCGAGAUUCCCCCAGUAGCGGCGAGCGAACGGGGAGCAGCCCAGAGUCUGAAUCAGCUUGUGUGUUAGUGGAACGGUCUGGAAAGUCCGACGGUACAGGGUGAUAGUCCCGUACACCAAAAUGCACAGGCUGUGAACUCGAAGAGUAGGGCGGGACACGUGGUAUCCUGUCUGAAUAUGGGGGGACCAUCCUCCAAGGCUAAAUACUCCUGACUGACCGAUAGUGAACCAGUACCGUGAGGGAAAGGCGAAAAGAACCCCGGCGAGGGGAGUGAAAAAGAACCUGAAACCGUGUACGUACAAGCAGUGGGAGCACCUUCGGGUGUGACUGCGUACCUUUUGUAUAAUGGGUCAGCGACUUAUAUUCUGUAGCAAGGUUAACCGUAUAGGGGAGCCGCAGGGAAACCGAGUCUUAACUGGGCGUUAAGUUGCAGGGUAUAGACCCGAAACCCGGUGAUCUAGCCAUGGGCAGGUUGAAGGUUGGGUAACACUAACUGGAGGACCGAACCGACUAAUGUUGAAAAAUUAGCGGAUGACUUGUGGCUGGGGGUGAAAGGCCAAUCAAACCGGGAGAUAGCUGGUUCUCCCCGAAAGCUAUUUAGGUAGCGCCUCGUGAACUCAUCUUCGGGGGUAGAGCACUGUUUCGGCUAGGGGGUCAUCCCGACUUACCAACCCGAUGCAAACUACGAAUACCGAAGAAUGUUAUCACGGGAGACACACGGCGGGUGCUAACGUCCGUCGUGAAGAGGGAAACAACCCAGACCGCCAGCUAAGGUCCCAAAGUCAUGGUUAAGUGGGAAACGAUGUGGGAAGGCACAGACAGCCAGGAUGUUGGCUUAGAAGCAGCCAUCAUUUAAAGAAAGCGUAAUAGCUCACUGGUCGAGUCGGCCUGCGCGGAAGAUGUAACGGGGCUAAACCAUGCACCGAAGCUGCGGCAGCGACACUAUGUGUUGUUGGGUAGGGGAGCGUUCUGUAAGCCUGCGAAGGUGUGCUGUGAGGCAUGCUGGAGGUAUCAGAAGUGCGAAUGCUGACAUAAGUAACGAUAAAGCGGGUGAAAAGCCCGCUCGCCGGAAGACCAAGGGUUCCUGUCCAACGUUAAUCGGGGCAGGGUGAGUCGACCCCUAAGGCGAGGCCGAAAGGCGUAGUCGAUGGGAAACAGGUUAAUAUUCCUGUACUUGGUGUUACUGCGAAGGGGGGACGGAGAAGGCUAUGUUAGCCGGGCGACGGUUGUCCCGGUUUAAGCAUGUAGGCUGGUUAUCCAGGCAAAUCCGGAUAAUCAAGGCUGAGGUGUGAUGACGAGGCACUACGGUGCUGAAGUAACAAAUGCCCUGCUUCCAGGAAAAGCCUCUAAGCAUCAGGUAACAUCAAAUCGUACCCCAAACCGACACAGGUGGUCAGGUAGAGAAUACCAAGGCGCUUGAGAGAACUCGGGUGAAGGAACUAGGCAAAAUGGUGCCGUAACUUCGGGAGAAGGCACGCUGGUGUGUAGGUGAAGCCCCUGCGGGUGGAGCUGAGACCAGUCGAAGAUACCAGCUGGCUGCAACUGUUUAUUAAAAACACAGCACUGUGCAAACACGAAAGUGGACGUAUACGGUGUGACGCCUGCCCGGUGCCGGAAGGUUAAUUGAUGGGGUUAUCCGUAAGGAGAAGCUCUUGAUCGAAGCCCCGGUAAACGGCGGCCGUAACUAUAACGGUCCUAAGGUAGCGAAAUUCCUUGUCGGGUAAGUUCCGACCUGCACGAAUGGCGUAAUGAUGGCCAGGCUGUCUCCACCCGAGACUCAGUGAAAUUGAACUCGCUGUGAAGAUGCAGUGUACCCGCGGCAAGACGGAAAGACCCCGUGAACCUUUACUAUAGCUUGACACUGAACAUUGAGCCUUGAUGUGUAGGAUAGGUGGGAGGCUUUGAAGCGUGGACGCCAGUCUGCGUGGAGCCAACCUUGAAAUACCACCCUUUAAUGUUUGAUGUUCUAACGUUGGCCCCUUACCGGGGUUGCGGACAGUGUCUGGUGGGUAGUUUGACUGGGGCGGUCUCCUCCCAAAGCGUAACGGAGGAGCACGAAGGUUAGCUAAUCCUGGUCGGACAUCAGGAGGUUAGUGCAAUGGCAUAAGCUAGCUUGACUGCGAGCGUGACGGCGCGAGCAGGUGCGAAAGCAGGUCAUAGUGAUCCGGUGGUUCUGAAUGGAAGGGCCAUCGCUCAACGGAUAAAAGGUACUCCGGGGAUAACAGGCUGAUACCGCCCAAGAGUUCAUAUCGACGGCGGUGUUUGGCACCUCGAUGUCGGCUCAUCACAUCCUGGGGCUGAAGUAGGUCCCAAGGGUAUGGCUGUUCGCCAUUUAAAGUGGUACGCGAGCUGGGUUUAGAACGUCGUGAGACAGUUCGGUCCCUAUCUGCCGUGGGCGCUGGAGAAUUGAGGGGGGCUGCUCCUAGUACGAGAGGACCGGAGUGGACGCAUCACUGGUGUUCGGGUUGUCAUGCCAAUGGCACUGCCCGGUAGCUAAAUGCGGAAGAGAUAAGUGCUGAAAGCAUCUAAGCACGAAACUUGCCCCGAGAUGAGUUCUCCCUGAGACUUUAAGUCUCCUGAAGGAACGUUAAAGACGAUGACGUUGAUAGGCCGGGUGUGUAAGCGCAGCGAUGCGUUGAGCUAACCGGUACUAAUGAACCGUGAGGCUUAACCUU